UUUCCGUAGGUGAACCUGCGGAAGGAUCAUUAAUGAUUUUUUUAAGCGAUCCGAGCUUCAAAAAAGCGAGGAUUGCGAAAUAUUUAGAACCCCACUCUUUUAUUAAACUAUUAUGAAAACGUGAAUUUAUUUUAAAAAGAUCACUUUCAACAACGGAUCUCUUGGCUCUCGCAUCGAUGAAGAACGCAGCGAAAUGCGAUAAGUAGUGUGAAUUGCAGAAAUUGUGAAUCAUCGAAUCUUUGAACGCAAAUUGCACUCUCUGGUAUUCCGGGGAGUAUGCCUGUUUGAGGGUCGUUAGAAAAAAAUCGAAGCGUCGCUCUUUAUGAAAAAUAUUUAAUAUAUUUCGUUUUGGGUGAUUGCGUCGGAAUUGAGCCGUCUUUCAUAUGUUUUAUUUAUGUCAAAGUGGUUUAAAAUUCAUCAAUCUGGUACGAUUUAAAGCGUAUUUAAGAUCAGCAUUGAUUAAGAACGCGCGAUGAAGACGGUAUCAUCUCAUGUAGUACGUUCGACCUGCUUUGUCAGGCUCAUUCGUAUACGACAACUCAACUUUUGACCUCAAAUCA
Molecule: ribosomal RNA, 560 nt
Filed under: uncultured Glomus
Lineage: Eukaryota; Fungi; Glomeromycota; Glomeromycetes; Glomerales; Glomeraceae
Description: eukaryotic LSU rRNA
Rfam family: 5.8S ribosomal RNA (bases 142-294)
Source: RNAcentral